This 1208-nucleotide long non-coding RNA is filed under the name Homo sapiens (human). RNAcentral's name for it is "non-protein coding DACT3-AS1:7". Lineage: Eukaryota; Metazoa; Chordata; Mammalia; Primates; Hominidae. The record is from RNAcentral.
GGCAGCUGCUCCUACCCCUCCACCCCGCCCAACCUUCAGCUUCUGAGGCUGCGCAGGGGGAGAAAAGGGUUAGGGGGUCGAGCCCUGACUUCGCCUCCUCUUCCAAGAAGCCUUCCCAGACACUCAGCUGUAAAACCAGACGGACGUCCUCCGAUGAAAUUGUUUCUACUUAGGGCCGGCUUCACCGGCUUGGAAUCCACUUAGAAGGGUCUUCGCGCUUGGUUGAAUGUUCUGCAAUUUCUGUCUUGAAAUUUUUAGUUUUUGAGCAAGGGGCCCCUUAUUUUCACUUUGCACUAGGCCAAAUAUGUAGCCGGUCUUGCUGCUAAGAGUCUAAGAUCGAUUGCAUUCCAAAUUCUGGAAUUAUAAGACCCUGGGUGGAAGAUUCUAUGCUUUGACCAGAAGAGAGUCUAAGCAGCUUUUGUCUCCCAGGUGCUAGGAGGAUGUGUGCUCAUCAUUCUUCCAUUCCAGGGGCCUUUGUUCUACGUUCUAAGGGGCUUUGUUCUCAGCCUUCUAUGAUGCUCUAUUCUCAACGUUCUCUGGUCCUAGGAGUCUGAGCCUGACAUUCGUUUCCAAGGCUUCCUGCUGUCUCUCCAGGCUCCGCAAGCAGGGCUGGGGCACCCUCAGGCGGCCAAUCUGUAUCACUACGCCGAGCCUGCCUCUACCAACUUCCAAGACCUAGCUCUAAUAUUCAUACUCAUCUCUCAGACAGACCUUGGCUCCCUAAAAGCCAAGGCCCAGAAGAUCAUACAAGAAAUUCCCUCUUUUAUGAUUCCCCGUGCACGAAGUGACCUUCUGGUGGUGAGAUGGAGAGAAAUUGAUAGUGGCGAUAGACAGCAAAGUCUCCAGGAGCCAGACUUCCUCGGGAAACUUGGGGCACGUGUGGAGUGUGAGUGAGUGAGCUGCUGGAAUGAACUGACCAGACAGGACAUCAUCUAUGUAUGGGAUUAGAAUGGAAUUACAGGAGAAAACCAAAUCCCUCAAAUUAGCAUUCAGGAUCGGAAAAAAAAUGUCAAGUCCAAUGUCCCUUUUCUUUACAGUAUAUACAAGUGUCUCUAUCAACAUUAGGUUUUGAGGUUGAGUGCAGUGGCCCACACCUGUAAUCCCAGCACUUUUGAGAGGUGGAGGAUCGUUCAACCCCAGGAGUUCAAGACCAGCCUCGGCAACAUAGUGAGACCCCAUCUCUAUAACAAAUAAAAAACAUGCCCGGG